UACAGAGGGGGCAAGCGUUGUUCGGAAUUACUGGGCGUAAAGGGCGCGUAGGCGGCCUGUUAAGUCGAACGUGAAAUCCCCGGGCUCAACCCGGGAACUGCGUCCGAUACUGGCAGGCUUGAAUCCGGGAGAGGGAUGCGGAAUUCCAGGUGUAGCGGUGAAAUGCGUAGAUAUCUGGAGGAACGCCGGUGGCGAAGGCGGCAUCCUGGACCGGCAUUGACGCUGAGGCGCGAAAGCCAGGGGAGCAAACGGG
RNAcentral lists this ribosomal RNA (253 nucleotides) under uncultured bacterium. RNAcentral describes it as "partial 16S ribosomal RNA". It matches the Rfam family "Bacterial small subunit ribosomal RNA", at positions 524 to 776 of the family's 1533-position model. The record is from RNAcentral.